AGUCGAGCGAGCUUGCCUAGAUGAUUUUAGUGCUUGCACUAAAUGAAACUAGAUACAAGCGAGCGGCGGACGGGUGAGUAACACGUGGGUAACCUGCCCAAGAGACUGGGAUAACACCUGGAAACAGAUGCUAAUACCGGAUAACAACACUAGACGCAUGUCUAGAGUUUGAAAGAUGGUUCUGCUAUCACUCUUGGAUGGACCUGCGGUGCAUUAGCUAGUUGGUAAGGUAACGGCUUACCAAGGCAAUGAUGCAUAGCCGAGUUGAGAGACUGAUCGGCCACAUUGGGGCUGAGACACGGCCCAAACUCCUACGGGAGGCAGCAGUAGGGAAUCUUCCACAAUGGACGAAAGUCUGAUGGAGCAACGCCGCGUGAGUGAAGAAGGGUUUCGGCUCGUAAAGCUCUGUUGGUAGUGAAGAAAGAUAGAGGUAGUAACUGGCCUUUAUUUGACGGUAAUUACUUAGAAAGUCACGGCUAACUACGUGCCAGCAGCCGCGGUAAUACGUAGGUGGCAAGCGUUGUCCGGAUUUAUUGGGCGUAAAGCGAGUGCAGGCGGUUCAAUAAGUCUGAUGUGAAAGCCUUCGGCUCAACCGGAGAAUUGCAUCAGAAACUGUUGAACUUGAGUGCAGAAGAGGAGAGUGGAACUCCAUGUGUAGCGGUGGAAUGCGUAGAUAUAUGGAAGAACACCAGUGGCGAAGGCGGCUCUCUGGUCUGCAACUGACGCUGAGGCUCNGAAGCAUGGGUAGCGAACANG
RNAcentral lists this ribosomal RNA (756 nucleotides) under uncultured bacterium. RNAcentral's name for it is "bacterial SSU rRNA". It matches the Rfam family "Bacterial small subunit ribosomal RNA", at positions 60 to 776 of the family's 1533-position model. The record is from RNAcentral.